This 199-nucleotide non-coding RNA is filed under the name Mycobacterium terrae. The record is from RNAcentral. Lineage: Bacteria; Bacillati; Actinomycetota; Actinomycetes; Mycobacteriales; Mycobacteriaceae.
UUUUCACCGGUGCGGCGGCGCCAUGUAACAAUGCGCUGGUAAGGCGAUGACGAUGAGGAAGCCGGUGCGAAUCCGGCGCGGUCCCGCCACUGUCAUCGGGGAGUGAACCUCACUGCCACGGCCCGUGCGUUUACGAGCUGGAAGGCGAGGGGAGCAGCGAUCCGAGAGCCAGGAUACUCACGUCGUCGCAUCCUGCGAU